AUUGAACGCUGGCGGAAUGCUUUACACAUGCAAGUCGAACGGCAGCACGGGGGCAGCCCUGGUGGCGAGUGGCGAACGGGUGAGUAAUACAUCGGAACGUACCCGGUCGUGGGGGAUAACGUAGCGAAAGUUACGCUAAUACCGCAUACGAUCUGAGGAUGAAAGCGGGGGACCUUCGGGCCUCGCGCGAUCGGAGCGGCCGAUGUCAGAUUAGGUAGUUGGUGGGGUAAAGGCCUACCAAGCCGACGAUCUGUAGCUGGUCUGAGAGGACGACCAGCCACACUGGGACUGAGACACGGCCCAGGCUCCUACGGGAGGCAGCAGUGGGGAAUUUUGGACAAUGGGCGCAAGCCUGAUCCAGCCAUUCCGCGUGCAGGACGAAGGCCUUCGGGUUGUAAACUGCUUUUGUACGGAACGAAAAGGCUCUGGCUAAUACCUGGGGCUCAUGACGGUACCGUAAGAAUAAGCACCGGCUAACUACGUG
Molecule: ribosomal RNA, 484 nt
Filed under: uncultured bacterium
Lineage: Bacteria
Description: partial 16S ribosomal RNA
Rfam family: Bacterial small subunit ribosomal RNA
Source: RNAcentral